AGCGACGAGGCGACUCUGAGCUAAUCGUUUAAAAGCGGCCCCAGUUCGGAUUGAAGUCUGCAACUCGACUUCAUGAAGUUGGAAUUGCUAGUAAUCGCGGGUCAGCUAAACCGCGGUGAAUACGUUCUCAAGUCUUGUACUCAGAAAUAAAUGCGCUU
Non-coding RNA from Candidatus Nomurabacteria bacterium, 158 nucleotides. The record is from Rfam. NCBI's taxonomy places the organism in Bacteria, Candidatus Nomuraibacteriota.